UGGGGACCCAUGGACCACAAAUGGCCCCCAAAUGGCUCCCAAAUGGACCCCAAAUGGCCCCCAAAUGGACUCCAAAUGGACCCCAAAAUGCUCCCAAAUGGACCCCAAAUGGCCCCCAUACUGCAGCACCGCCACCUGGGGACCCAUGGACCCCAAACGGACCCCAAAUGGACCCCAAAUGGCCCCCAAAUGGCUCCCAAAUGGACCCCAAAUGGACCCCAAAUGGCUCCCAAAUGGACCCCAAAUGGCCCCCAAACGGCCCCCAUACUGCAGCACCGCCACCUGGGGACCCCCGGACCCCCAAAGGAAGGUGGCACUGGGGGUGUCCCCGUGUCCCCCCCCCCAUGUCCCACCUGGCUCUGCUGCGGCCCCACAAAGAAGCGCGCCAGCAGCGCCUGCAGGAAGCGCUGCACCUCGUGCCAGGGGUAGAUGCUGUUGGAGCCGUCCAGCAGGAUGACGAUGUCCAGGAACGUGGGGCAGCCUGCGGCAUCGGGACGGGGGAUGUGGGGGGAUGCGGGGCUGUGGGGGGGGUGGGG
Molecule: long non-coding RNA, 536 nt
Filed under: Phasianus colchicus (ring-necked pheasant)
Lineage: Eukaryota; Metazoa; Chordata; Aves; Galliformes; Phasianidae
Description: lncRNA (ENSPCLG00000018241.1)
Source: RNAcentral